Molecule: ribosomal RNA, 548 nt
Filed under: uncultured Glomeromycotina
Lineage: Eukaryota; Fungi; Glomeromycota
Description: SSU rRNA
Rfam family: Eukaryotic small subunit ribosomal RNA
Source: RNAcentral
UUGGAGGGCAAGUCUGGUGCCAGCAGCCGCGGUAAUUCCAGCUCCAAUAGCGUAUAUUAAAGUUGUUGCAGUUAAAAAGCUCGUAGUUGAAUUUCGGGAUCAGAUUGUCGGUCGUGCCUCGGUACGCACUGGCAUUAUUGGUUCCUACCUUCUGAAGAACCGCGAUGUCAUUAAUUUGGUGUCGUGGGGAAUCAGGACUGUUACUUUGAAAAAAUUAGAGUGUUUAAAGCAGGCGCACGCUUGAAUACAUUAGCAUGGAAUAAUGAAAUAGGACGUUUGAUUCUAUUUUGUUGGUUUCUAGGAUCGACGUAAUGAUUAAUAGGGAUAGUUGGGGGCAUUAGUAUUCAAUUGUCAGAGGUGAAAUUCUUGGAUUUAUUGAAGACUAACUACUGCGAAAGCAUUUGCCAAGGAUGUUUUCAUUAAUCAAGAACGAAAGUUAGGGGAUCGAAGACGAUCAGAUACCGUCGUAGUCUUAACCAUAAACUAUGCCGACUAGGGAUCGGAUGAUGUUAAUUUUAUAAUGACUCAUUCGGCGCCUUACGGGAAAC